Molecule: ribosomal RNA, 660 nt
Filed under: uncultured bacterium
Lineage: Bacteria
Description: bacterial SSU rRNA
Rfam family: Bacterial small subunit ribosomal RNA
Source: RNAcentral
UUGAUGGACGCAGUCUGAACAUCCAUGCCGCGUGCAGGAAGACGGCCUCUGGGUUGUAAACUGCUUUUAUAUAGGAAGAAACCCCUGGAUGCGUUCGGGGCUGACGGUACUAUAUGAAUAAGGAUCGGCUAACUUCGUGCCAGCAGCCGCGGUAAGACGAAGGAUCCAAGCGUUGUCCGGAUUUACUGGGUUUAAAGGGUGCGUAGGCGGAAAUUUAAGUCAGUGGUGAAAGCCCGCAGCUCAACUGCGGAACUGCCAUUGAAACUGAAUUUCUUGAAUACGGUUGAGGUAGAUAGAAUAUAACAUGUAGCGGUGAAAUGCAUAGAUAUGUUAUAGAAUACCGAUUGCGAAGGCAGUCUACUAAGCCGUCAUUGACGCUGAGGCACGAAAGCGUGGGGAGCGAACAGGAUUAGAUACCCUGGUAGUCCACGCCCUAAACGUUGAUUACUCGCUGUUGGCGAUAAACAGUCAGCGGCUAAGCGAAAGCGUUAAGUAAUCCACCUGGGAAGUACGACCGCAAGGUUGAAACUCAAAGGAAUUGACGGGGGCCCGCACAAGCGGAGGAGCAUGUGGUUUAAUUCGAUGAUACGCGAGGAACCUUACCUGNGCUUAAAUGUCAUGCGACAAUUGCUGAAAAGUGAUCUCCCUUCGGGGCGAAUG